GGGAUUGAACUCGAGUAAGUCCUUGGGCUUGCAGGCAAGCACUUUAUCAGCUGAGACAUCUUGCUGGACCUCUUUAACCAUCUUAAGUAAAGGAUUUUUUUAUUUAAUUGUAGGAAUUCUGAGUAUACAACCCAAGCCCAAAUUAAUCAGGUUUAGGAAACAAAGGCCAUUUCCCCAAGUGUUCUGAAACACAUGCAUCCUUCCUACUCACGGAGUCUCUCAUUCAAUCUUCAGAGAAGUCUGGAAAGCUAUUGUGAUCUAUUGUGGUCACCUCCACUGUCUUCCCUACAGGAGCAAGAGACUGAGGCCACCAAAGUCUUUGACCAGAAUCACAGGUUGUAACCAGCAGGUCAGGGACAUCAUAGCUGGGGGUCAAAGUGGCUUGAGUCCAGAGUUAAGCUCUGAAAUUCUUAUGUCUGCUUUUUGGCCACUGCUCAGAUCCAGGUGUAUCCUCACUGUCUGUACAACACAACCCAUGCCCUUUGCCACCAUCCUUGCUUUACCAUCUCUUGCCUCAAGACACAGAGAUAUGAGCCAAGUUUAUAAACCUCUCUUAGAUAAGAGUCUGGAGUCAGAGAUGUCAGGCACUUUCAACAAAUGCUUGCUAAGCACCUACCGUAUUCCAAGCAUUAAAUGGGAUUCUCAGGACUCUAGGACAAAUAAGACCCAGUUAGUUCUCUGGUUGUCCACACCGAGUGGAGGAGGCAGAUACAAAGGCCCAUGCUGUUGUUAGUUUAGUUUUCUGAGGCUGGGUCUUGUAUGUAGCUCAGUUUGCCCUGGUAUCUGCUUGGUAUCCCAAGCUGGUCUCAAAACCAUGGCAAUUCUGCUUGCCUCAGCUUCCUGACCACUGGGUGGCAGGUAUGAGUUACUAUGUCUGGCUCUUUUUAAUUUUUUUUAUAUGCCUACCUGGCUGGGCCAUAGCAUCCAAGUCAAGAAAUAUUCUACAUGGGCAUAAAAGGUGUUUGGAUCAGAGAACUGAGUGGCUCAGAUUUCCCUCUACUCAACUGAAGACCUGAAGAGAACAGGAGGAUUCCAUUGAGUGAGAGGCGCUUCUGCCUGGCUUCUCACAGCCCGCACAUUGGGUCUUGUGUUUGGGGCGAAGCAGCUGCUCUUCCUUCUGAGUCUCCGCUCUAUGGGCUUGUGAUUAUUGGCUGCAGACUUAGAUGUUAUCGGUAAUCACAUCAGCAAGGCCCAAUAAUGAAUCUCUCUCUGCACAGGACAUACUAAAGCAUCCUUCGCUGGCUCCUCUACACAGACGCUCCUCUUUGUGACCCUAUUUUCUGGUUAAUAAGGCUGUCUUUUACUUGACUACACAAGCUCCAAGUGCAGGGUGUGCACUGUUAUUGGAAAGAAAUACCCAAAAUGAAUCCACAGUUGGUCCCAGGGCUGGGGAGAGAACUUGACUUCUGGAAGCCCAACUUUGUGUUCCUGUCCCUGAUUAGGAAAACCUUGUUUGGAGCUGAGACGAAGAUGUCCUCAUUGUGGAAGGAAGUGUCUACAAGCAGCCCAUUAAACACGAAGCCCUGCUGUUGAGUCUCGUGGAUGCCGUCAUGCAGGGAAGCCUUGUCUGGAGGUGUGCAAUGCCAGGAGAGCAACUCACCAAAGAAGUUCUUGUGAUAUGCUGGUGGUUUCCUGCUGCUUCUGUGGACGCGCAGAUCAUCGGAUCCUUGCAGUUUCUUUUGGAUCAAACUGCCACUGCUGAUUUGUGUUGGUGUUUUGCUAGAGGACUGGACUGCUGACAGUAGAGAUUGGAAUCACCCCAAAGAACUAUUUCUAAGCAGAUCCACAACCCCCAUUUCCUGUUAGCCUUUCUUUUCCACUACCUCUGGUGGGUGGUUUGCUAGAAGGGAGGUUGAA
Mus musculus (house mouse) is the source of this 1857-nucleotide long non-coding RNA. RefSeq annotates it as predicted gene, 33357. The transcript has 4 exons. The record is from RefSeq and is a predicted model, not a curated record. NCBI's taxonomy places the organism in Eukaryota, Metazoa, Chordata, Mammalia, Rodentia, Muridae.